UAUUAGCACUAUGGUUGCGUUAGGGAUUGCAGUGGAAAUCCUUUUUAUGAGUUACGAUUAAAAAGAUUGCAACGGAAAGCCCGACCUUUA
Molecule: small RNA, 90 nt
Rfam family: Flavo-1 RNA